GCCGGCAGCUCGCCGCCCCCGCAGCGCUGCUCCGCCAGUUCGGGCCGGCGCGGGAGAGGCUCGGGUCGGAGGAGGCUGCGCGGAGCCCGCGGAGCCCGCGGAGCCCGGGAUGGGGAUGUGCGAGAACAGGCACGGCCAGGGUGGACCAGACGGCGCUUCACCGGGCACGAGGCCGGAGCCGCUUUGCCAGCCCAGGCCCGGCCCGGGCCCACCGCAGUGAUGCAGCAAGGACUUCGACUCCUCGAGGGCCAUCACCCGCCCGCUCCUGGGCUGCCCCAGUGCCCAGACCAGUUCUGCACCCCCUGGGCCCCGACCCUGCAGCUCUGCUGCUGCUCCCCAGCGGGCGGCCCCCGGUGAGCUCCUGCAGGCGGCAAGGCCACCGAGAAAGCCCCCAGACCCGCAGUCCACCCCUGCUCGAAGAUGCCACAUGGGUUCCUAUCUAGGAAUAAAAGGGCAAAGUUCCUACGUCGUGAAUGAAUUACAAUAAAAGUGAGACAGCAUUCAGGCUUCAGGAUGGAUGAUGAAUGUUCAAAAAGAAAAGAGAUGGAAAAUCAUCAAAAUUACCAUAAACUGUGCUGUCAACUGAAUGCAUGUUCCUUUGUAGCAUAUGCAGAGUCAAGGAAAAUUAUAUUCCUGCAUUAUAUAAUCCACCAACAUCCUCCUAACCUAUUGUCCUAAUCCUGUUUUUUUUUUUUUUUUUUUUUUUUUUAGGUUUUAUUUACCUACCGGAGAGGGAGAGGAAAAAGCAGACUCUCCCCCUGACCCUGAGAUCAUGACCUGAGCUGAAGUCAGAAGUCAGACGCUUAACCGACUGAGCCACCCAGGUGCCCCUUAAUCUAGGUUAUUCUUGAAAGCAGUGCCUGAGACAAAGGUAGGCACAUUCUAUUUCAAAAUGUGAUCCCAGGGAGCAGGAAUGAAAGGAGUGAACAGGGGAAAAAGGAAAGAAUAUAAGCAAAACAGGUAGUGUUAUGGAGUAGUCCACCACUGUUAAUAGAUGACUUAGCAUGUGCAGAUCCUUCUCAGGAUUCUUAUUCAACUUUGUCUCAGAACCACCAACUCCCAAAGAAUGAAAUGGAGUAGGAUUUAUCUCUCAGCAGCAGCUCGUCCUUGUUGAAGGCUGCUCCUAAGGGGUGUUAACUGCUACAUCUCCAUGGCGAUGCAAAGACUUGGAGAGCCGGUACCACAGCAUCACACACUGCUGCAUCAGAGAAGCCUUAGGACCGGAAGCUACAUUCCUGGUGCAUACCUGAAGCAAGGCACUAUCAGCACAGAGCGGGGCAAAACCUGCUCCAGACAGUUCACCAGAACUGUGGCUGGAAUCGGAGGUUAGAGAACAUAGGACAGUGCGUAAGAGGUAUCUUACAAGCCUAUAGAAGGUGCUCGCAGCCUCAUCUAAAUCUGUAUCCUCCUUUCUAUAGUCAAAAUUCCAGCAUCCAGCACUGUGUGGCUCAGUCGGGUAAGUGUCUGCCUUUGGCUCAGGUCAUGAUCCCGGGGUCCUGGAAUCCAGCCCUAUGUGGGCUCCAUGCUCAGCACCAAGUCUGCUUGUCGCUCUCUUUCUUCUCCCCCAACUCAUGCUUUCUCUCUCUCUCUCUUAAAUAAACAAAAUCUUAAAAAUGUCA
This 1619-nucleotide long non-coding RNA is filed under the name Canis lupus dingo (dingo). Its description in RNAcentral is "lncRNA (ENSCAFG00020008466.1)". The record is from RNAcentral. Lineage: Eukaryota; Metazoa; Chordata; Mammalia; Carnivora; Canidae.